GAUGAACGCUGGCGGCGUGCCUAAUACAUGCAAGUCGAGCGAACAGACGAGGAGCUUGCUCCUCUGACGUUAGCGGCGGACGGGUGAGUAACACGUGGAUAACCUACCUAUAAGACUGGGAUAACUUCGGGAAACCGGAGAUAAUACCGGAUAAUAUAUUGAACCGCAUGGUUCAAUAGUGAAAGACGGUUUUGCUGUCACUUAUAGAUGGAUCCGCGCCGCAUUAGCUAGUUGGUAAGGUAACGGCUUACCAAGGCAACGAUGCGUAGCCGACCUGAGAGGGUGAUCGGCCACACUGGACCUGAGACCCGGUCCAAACUCCUACGGGAAGCAGCAGUAGGGAAUCUUCCGCAAUGGGCGAAAGCCUGACGGAGCAACGCCGCGUGAGUGAUGAAGGUCUUCGGAUCGUAAAACUCUGUUAUUAGGGAAGAACAAAUGUGUAAGUAACUAUGCACGUCUUGACGGUACCUAAUCAGAAAGCCACGGCUAACUACGUG
This 497-nucleotide ribosomal RNA is filed under the name uncultured bacterium. RNAcentral describes it as "partial 16S ribosomal RNA". It matches the Rfam family "Bacterial small subunit ribosomal RNA", at positions 28 to 507 of the family's 1533-position model. The record is from RNAcentral.